GUAGACUUUACACUGCCUUACACCGAGUCUGGCGUAUCAAUGAUCGUGCCGAUCAUCGAUAACAGAAGUAAAAGUGUUGGGUUUCCCUUCUUUGUGGGACUCUUAAAUUUACUAAAUAUGGUUUUUCUAUUUUUGGCCAACACCUUGGUUAGCACAUGACUCUUGGUAUAUUCAAGAUUGGUUUGAAGUCUUCAAGGAAAGAAAAAAAAAAACUACAAGCCUUUUGUCUUUUCCUUUGGUUCAUUAUCUUGGUCGGCAAGAAGACUUUUGGGAUACCUUUUUGGUUCAAACAAACAAAAAGAAAAUUCAGCCUUCUUCUUCUCCAUUUUUUGGUGCUACACAAUCAGCAAGUUUGUUCUUCAAGUGGGUAACGUUCCUUCACUUGAUAUUUGGGGUUUCUUGCGGUUUGUUCUUGGAGAUUUGGUUUACUUUUGUGAGGUAUUUUCCUCUUGUAAUUUACACCUUGGUGUGUUUGUAAGGCUUAUGCCUUUUGACCACUUUGUAAACUCUUUUGGUGAUAGUGGAAGAAACUGACCUACCGGUUGUCGUGNNNNNNNNNNNNNNNNNNNNNNNNNNNNNNNNNNNNNNNNNNNNNNNNNNNNNNNNNNNNNNNNNNNNNNNNNNNNNNNNNNNNNNNNNNNNNNNNNNNNCACAGUUAGUAACUCCACACCUGAUGGAGUGGUAACAAUGAGUCAAGUUACUAGCAGCCUGUUGAAUGAAGAGACAAGAAGAAAAUCAUCAGGUUCUUCUCACUCCGAGGCACUUGUGAUAGAAAAUCGAGGGAGAGGCAGGAGUAAGAGUAAGGCUUCGCACAACCGUGAUAAAUCUAGAGGUCGUUCAAGCUCGAUUUCAAAGAAAGAUGUUGAGUGCUAUUAUUGUCACAAGAAAGGGCAUAUGAAGCGGGAGUGCAGAAAACUCAAGUUCAAGGAGCAGAACAAAGAGAAAAAUUCAGAGAAAAAGCAAAAUGAUACAGCUGUAGUUACCGAUGGUGAACUCAUGAUUAUUCGUGAUGAUGUUAGCGUUAAUUUGAUUGGCCAAGAGACGGAUUGGGUAAUUGAUUCUGGAGCUUCAUUUCAUGUUACUUCGCGGGCUGAUUUCUUUACUUCUUACUCGCAAGGUGAUUUUGGGAAUGUCCGUAUGGGAAAUGAAGAUGUGUCAAAAAUUGUUGGCAUGGGUGACAUUUGCUUGGAAACAAAUACUGGAUGCAAAUUGUUGCUUAGAGAUGUGAGGCAUGUACCGGAUAUUCGGCUCAAUUUAAUCUCUACUGGAAAGUUAGAUGAUGAGGGCUACAACAACAAUUUCAGUGAUGGAAAAUGGAAGCUCUCUAAAGGUUCUCUAGUGGUAGCAAAAGGAAAGAAGACUUGUUCUCUUUACACCGUGCAAGCAAAAAUCUGCAAGUGUGUUGUGAAUACCUUAGAGAAUGACUCAUCCACCGAUUUAUGGCAUAGAAGGCUUGGACAUAUGAGUGAGAAAGGAUUGCAAGUUUUAUCUAAGAAAGAGCUUCUAGCGGGGAUAAAAGGUACGCCUUUGAAAACAUGUGUUCAUUGUUUCCAUGGUAAACAAAAUAGAAUAUCAUUCCGUAGAAACAUUGCAUCUAGAAAAUCUCAUGUUCUAGAUUUGAUACAUUUUGAUGUAUGUGGUCCUUUGAAAGUUAGGACACUUGGUGGUGCUCUAUACUUUGUCACUUUUAUUGAUGAUCACUCUAGAAAAGUUUAGGCUUAUACACUGAAAACUAAAGAUCAAGUUCUAGAUGUGUUUAAGCAUUUUCAAGCCAAGGUUGAAAGAGAAACUGGUAGACAGUUGAAAUGUGUCCGCUCGGAUAAUGGUGGUGAAUAUAUUGGACCAUUUGAUCAGUAUUGCACUAAUCAUGGCAUCAGGCACGAAAAGACAGUAAAAAAGACACCUCAACAGAACGGGGUUGCAGAGAGAAUGAAUCGCACCAUUCUUGAGAGAGUCAGAUGUUUGCUCUCACAUUCUAAAUUGCCAAGAUCUUUUUGGGGUGAGGCAAUGAGGACAGCAGUUGAUCUUAUCAAUUUGUCUCCUUCAGUUCCGUUGAAUGGUGAUGUGCCAGAGAAAGUUUGGACAGGGAAGGAAGUCUCCUAUGAUCACUUGAGGGUAUUCGGCUGCAGAGCUUUUGUUCAUAUUCCAAAAGAUGAGAGGUCCAAGCUUGAUCCAAAAGCAAAGCAGUGCAUAUUUAUUGGCUAUGGGCAUGAAGAAUUUGGCUACAGGUUGUAUGAUCCAGUUGAUAAGAAAGUUGUCAGAAGCCGAGAUGUUGUUUUCUUGGAAGAUCAGACUAUUGAAGACAUUGACAAGCUUGAGUCAGCUGAGUCUAGUACUAAUGAUCUUGUUGAUUUAGAUCCUCUUAAUCCACCUGUUGUUCAUGAUAUUGAUGAGGAAGUGCAGACACCUCAUGAUGAUGCAGCGGAAGAUGAUGUUGAGCCAGAGAUUGAGGGGGAACAGUCACCCCAAGAGCCACUACCACAGACACCGUUGAGGAGAUCUACCAGAGAAAAACAGCCAUCCAGAAAAUAUUCUUCAAAUGAGUAUGUGAUGAUAUCAGAUCAGGGGGAGCCAGAGACUUAUCAAGAAGUCUUGAAGCAUGAGAACAAAACUGAAUGGCUCAAGGCAAUGAAAGAGGAAAUGAAGUCUUUGCAUGAGAAUCACACCUAUGAUUUGGUGAAGCCGCCUAAAGGGAAGAAAAUUUUGAAAAAUAAAUGGGUCUUCAGACGAAAGAAUGAUGGGAACAGUUCUCAACCGAGAUUCAAGGCACGACUUGUUGUGAAAGGUUUUGAUCAGAGGAAGGGAGUUGAUUUUGAUGAGAUCUUCUCACCAGUUGUGAAGAUGUCCUCCAUUCGAACUGUACUUGGUAUAGCUGCGAGUAUGAAUUUAGAAGUUGAGCAGCUUGAUGUGAAGACCGCAUUUUUGCAUGGUGACUUAGAAGAGGAAAUUUAUAUGGAGCAACCUGAGGGCUUCAUAGAUAAGGGUAAUGAUCAGUUAGUUUGCAAAUUGAAGAAGAGUUUGUAUGGAUUGAAGCAAGCACCGAGGCAGUGGUACAGAAAAUUCGAUUCUUUCAUGACUGAGCAUGGGUAUUCAAGAACCACUUCAGACCAUUGUGUGUUUGUGAAGAAAUAUACAGAUGGUAAUUUUAUUAUUCUCUUGCUUUACGUUGAUGAUAUGCUUAUUGUGGGCCAAGACAUGAGCAAGAUUAGCAAGUUGAAGUCAGAGUUGAGCAAGUCCUUUGCCAUGAAGGAUUUGGGUCCAGCAAAGCAAAUUCUUGGGAUAAGAAUUGUUCGCAACAGAUCACAUGGGCUGAUUUGGUUAUCUCAAGAGAAUUAUGUUAAAAAGGUUCUUGAGAGGUUCAAUAUGGACAAAGCAAAGCCUGUUAAUUGUCCACUUGCAGGCCACUUCAAACUUAGCUCAAGUCAAUGUCCUACAAGUGAUGAAGAGAAAAAUGAGAUGCAGAAAAUUCCCUAUGCUUCAGCAAUUGGUUCUUUGAUGUAUGCCAUGGUUUGUACUCGACCGGAUAUUGCUCACGCAGUUGGGGUUGUUAGUCGAUUUAUAUCUAAUCCGGGGAAAGAACACUGGGCAGCAGUGAAAUGGAUUCUGAGGUAUCUUCAGGGCACUUCAAAGAUGAGUUUGUGUUUUGGUAAAGGCGAGCCUAUUCUUGAUGGGUUCACAGAUUCUGAUAUGGCUGGUGAUGUUGAUAGUCGAAAAUCUACUUCUGGUUAUUUGAUUACUUUUGCAGGGGGAGCAGUGACAUGGCAAUCAAGAUUACAGAAAUGUGUUGCUCUCUCCACCACAGAAGCUGAGUUCAUCGCCAUUACAGAAGCCUGCAAAGAAUUAUUGUGGUUGAAGAAAUUCUUACAAGAGUUGGGUUUGAAACAAGAAAGGUAUGUCCUUCAUUGUGAUAGUCAAAGUGCAAUCCACUUGAGUAAGAAUUCUUCAUUUCAUUCGAGGUCGAAACACAUUGAUGUUAGAUAUCAUUGGAUUCGUGAUGUCUUGAAUGAUAAGUUGUUGCAACUUGAAAAAGUUCACACUGAUGAUAACACUUCGGAUAUGUUGACUAAGGCAUUGACUAAGGACAAGCAUGAGAAGUGUCGACUAUUGGCGGGAAUGGUCGAAUCCUCCACAUAAGUCGGGAGGGGGAGAAUUGUUGGGUUUCCCUUCUUUGUGGGACUCUUAAAUUUACUAAAUAUGGUUUUUCUAUUUUUGGCCAACACCUUGGUUAGCACAUGACUCUUGGUAUAUUCAAGAUUGGUUUGAAGUCUUCAAGGAAAGAAAAAAAAAACUACAAGCCUUUUGUCUUUUCCUUUGGUUCAUUAUCUUGGUCGGCAAGAAGACUUUUGGGAUACCUUUUUGGUUCAAACAAACAAAAAGAAAAUUCAGCCUUCUUCUUCUCCAUUUUUUGGUGCUACACAAUCAGCAAGUUUGUUCUUCAAGUGGGUAACGUUCCUUCACUUGAUAUUUGGGGUUUCUUGCGGUUUGUUCUUGGAGAUUUGGUUUACUUUUGUGAGGUAUUUUCCUCUUGUAAUUUACACCUUGGUGUGUUUGUAAGGCUUAUGCCUUUUGACCACUUUGUAAACUCUUUUGGUGAUAGUGGAAGAAACUGACCUACCGGUUGUCGUGGACGUACCUCAAGUUAUUUGAGGGAACCACGUAAAUCUUGUGUGCUCAUUUAUUUUCUGUUAUUCUAUUUAUAUUGCUUCCAUUGAUUUACACUUGUGGGAAAGCCUAGUUUUUUUUCAACAAAAAGAGCAUGGGUCUUUUUGAAGCCAUUAACUUGGGAC
RNAcentral lists this long non-coding RNA (4787 nucleotides) under Vitis vinifera (wine grape). RNAcentral's name for it is "long non-coding RNA (VVIN_LNC001008)". Lineage: Eukaryota; Viridiplantae; Streptophyta; Magnoliopsida; Vitales; Vitaceae. The record is from RNAcentral.